RNAcentral lists this ribosomal RNA (400 nucleotides) under phytoplankton environmental sample. RNAcentral's name for it is "partial small subunit ribosomal RNA". It matches the Rfam family "Eukaryotic small subunit ribosomal RNA", at positions 587 to 980 of the family's 1831-position model. The record is from RNAcentral.
AGCUCCAGUAGCGUAUAUUAAAGUUGUUGCAGUUAAAAAGCUCGUAGUUGGAUUUCUGACUCGCCGCCGUGGUCCGGUUCCGCUGAGGAACUGAGCGUCGUGGCGCGCUUGUCAUCCUUCUAGAGAGCCACUGUCUGCCAUUAACUUGGUGUGACGUGUGCGCUCUAGAUCAAUUACUUUGAAAAAAUUAGAGUGUUUAAAGCAGGCUUACGCUGUGAAUACAUUAGCAUGGAAUAAUAAUUUAGGACUUUGGUUCUAUUUUGUUGGUUUCUAGGACUAAAGUAAUGAUUGAUAGGGAUAGUUGGGGGUGCUAGUAUUUCGCGGCCAGAGGUGAAAUUCUUGGAUUCGCGAAAGACUAACUACUGCGAAAGCAUUCACCAAGGAUGUCUUCUUUAAUCAA